RNAcentral lists this ribosomal RNA (468 nucleotides) under uncultured bacterium. RNAcentral's name for it is "partial 16S ribosomal RNA". It matches the Rfam family "Bacterial small subunit ribosomal RNA", at positions 28 to 507 of the family's 1533-position model. The record is from RNAcentral.
GGCGAACGCCGGCGGCGUGCUUAACACAUGCAAGUCGAACGGAAAGGCCCUGCUUUUGUGGGGUGCUCGAGUGGCGAACGGGUGAGUAACACGUGAGUAACCUGCCCUUGACUUUGGGAUAACUUCAGGAAACUGGGGCUAAUACCGGAUAGGAGCUCCUGCUGCAUGGUGGGGGUUGGAAAGUUUCGGCGGUUGGGGAUGGACUCGCGGCUUAUCAGCUUGUUGGUGGGGUAGUGGCUUACCAAGGCUUUGACGGGUAGCCGGCCUGAGAGGGUGACCGGCCACAUUGGGACUGAGAUACGGCCCAGACUCCUACGGGAGGCAGCAGUGGGGAAUAUUGCACAAUGGGCGGAAGCCUGAUGCAGCAACGCCGCGUGCGGGAUGACGGCCUUCGGGUUGUAAACCGCUUUCGCCUGUGACGAAGCGUGAGUGACGGUAAUGGGUAAAGAAGCACCGGCUAACUACGUG